AGAUGAUACAUAUUGGAGAGUAUUAGAAUCACUUUUCAUUUAGUAUUCUUUCUCUCUCCUUUAGUUAUAGAUUUAUGCGAUUAAGUUCCAUAAGACCUCUCCUUCUGAAAUUUUCUUUCUCCCCCUUAAUUGAUCAUUCCAUUUAAGAGUUUAGAAUCCUAAGAUAAUGUUCAAUAAAAUUGUCAAUCUCAAAAAUAUAUUUUCUAUAAGUUCAUAAAAAUCAAUCCAUAAGAUUUAAGGUAUACAUCAAAUUGAAGUAACUUUAGGAUAAGAUACUGAAUAUCUAAAGCUCCCCCUCAAAAGAUGCAUACUUCUUUAAUCAUUCUUUUCUUUUGUUGAAUUUCAGAUUUUAAUG
This 355-nucleotide long non-coding RNA is filed under the name Phoenix dactylifera (date palm). RNAcentral's name for it is "long non-coding RNA (PDAC_LNC022977)". Lineage: Eukaryota; Viridiplantae; Streptophyta; Magnoliopsida; Arecales; Arecaceae. The record is from RNAcentral.